AGAUUGAACGCUGGCGGCAUGCUUUACACAUGCAAGUCGGACGGCAGCACAGAGAAGCUUGCUUCUUGGGUGGCGAGUGGCGAACGGGUGAGUAAUAUAUCGGAACGUACCGAGUAAGUGGGGGAUAACUAAUCGAAAGAUUAGCUAAUACCGCAUAUUCUCUGAGGAGGAAAGCAGGGGACCUUCGGCCUUGCGUUAUUCGAGCGGCGAUAUCUGAUUAGCUAGUGGUGGGGUAAGCCUACGAAGGCGACGAUCAGUAGCGGGUCUGAGAGGAUGAUCCGGCCACACGUGGGACUGAGACACGGCCAGACUCCGACGGGAGCAGCAGUAGGGGG
Molecule: ribosomal RNA, 335 nt
Filed under: uncultured soil bacterium
Lineage: Bacteria
Description: bacterial SSU rRNA
Rfam family: Bacterial small subunit ribosomal RNA
Source: RNAcentral